CCUCUCAUGGGGUAGUGGUUAAACGCGCCCCCAACUAGAGAUCGGGGAGUCGUGAGUUCGAUUCUCACUGAGAAGA
Non-coding RNA from Aedes aegypti (yellow fever mosquito), 76 nucleotides. Lineage: Eukaryota; Metazoa; Arthropoda; Insecta; Diptera; Culicidae. The record is from Rfam.